Molecule: long non-coding RNA, 3868 nt
Organism: Varanus komodoensis (Komodo dragon)
Lineage: Eukaryota; Metazoa; Chordata; Lepidosauria; Squamata; Varanidae
Exons: 3
Source: RefSeq, a predicted model, not a curated record
AAAUUCUUGUGUGAUCAAGGGCAACAUUCUGCACACAUUUAGACAGAAAAUGUCCUAUAAUUCCCAGCUUGUUCCAGACAGAAUGCUAUGAGUGGUAAGAAUUCUUUAUAUCUAAUGUUCUCCUAAUUUUUGUUUAAACUGUAUGUGGCUAUCAGCUACCAUAUAUAUGCAAUUUGUUCUAAAGUUGGUUGAUUAUCAUAUCUUCCUGUCUCUUCUUGGCUUGUCUCAGCUGAGUUGCUGUCAAAGGAGCAAGUUACUAGUCCAUGUCAUUAGGAUAACUUCAGAGCCCAGGGCAGGACUUUGCUGAGAACUUAAGUGGGCUGCAGUGGCAAAUCUCCUUGAAUCAGCAUUUUAACUUACUACCUGCUGAUGUAUUAUGCAGAGGCAGAACAUGCAAAUACAAAUUAAUGAAAGUUCAGUAGUUCUUUCUGGCCACUGCUCUGCUUCAAAUUGCCCCUCCAUUAUUUCCUUCUCCAUGGCAUUUGAAAUGUGCAUUUGGAGAGGAAAACACUGUUUUGAAAUCUUUGGGAAGAGGAUUAGAGCAGAAGGAUAGGGUAUGUGGAGCAUCUUCUCUUCCACUCCAAGUCUCCCUCCCGCCUUACAGCUUUCCAGAAAGGUAUCUGUCUCUCCAAAUAAGCAUUCUGAAUCCCAUAGGGAGCAGAAUGGAGUCGAUGAGAAAAGAAAUAAGGGUCAUUUCUCUCCUGCCACUUCUUUACUCUAAACUCCCUAGAAAAAAUAGUAAUCAAGCUUUUCUUACAGGUAUUUGUGUGCAACAUGUAGUUAGCUUCUAGCUCUGAAUAAUGAAUCAACAGGUGCUGGCAGAAGGCUUGUCUAAAGCACUUUCUCAUUAACAACAAUUUAUAGGCUCUGGUACUGUAGUCAGCAUAAGACGUUCUCAGCACACAAUGCCUCGCUUUGCAAAUCCUAUCAUGAAUGAAUAGAACACACACAGAGAAGUUAGAGCACAGCUCACCAAACAGAGUCAGAGAGGAUGUCACGGAGCUUUAGCACAGGGAAACCCACAGUGGUACUUUCACCAUGCAUCAUGACUGGUGCACUAUACAUCUAAAGCAGGCAUUUCUGGGAACUUGAAAUAGCUGAAGCUGAGGGUCUUUUCCUCAAGACAUAUAUUGACAUUUAGUGGAAAUGAUCCCUCUUUUUACAAACCUGUAUAAGAGGUGGGGACAACCUCACUACGAUAUAAAGUGUGGGGGGAUCCUGUGUGACAAAAUCAUCUAUUAAUCUAGGUAAGUGAAGGUGAGGUAGCUGUGUUGGUCUGUUUCAAUAAAAACAAAACAAAGAGCCUUGUGACACCUGAAAGACAAACAAAUGUAAACGCGGAAUGACUAACAAAUGCUAAAUGUCUGUGUCCAUGGAAGCGUGUGUCACAGUAAGUACCUGCCAUCUCUAAGGUGCCACAAGCCUUUUUGUAGAUAAUUCAAAGUUGUGUGCUCACAGCACUUGGAUUCCAACUGCAAUCCUAUGAGCUGUUCCUUGGAAGUAAGUCUCCUUGAGCCGAGCGGGGAUUACUCCCAAGUAAACACGCAAACGGUUGCGUUGUUAAUGAUCUUCUGCGCACGUUCUGCGACGUAGCGCGCGGGACAUUUUAAAAGGCCCGGGGCGCUGGGGACCGGCCCCACGCGUUAUGUGACCAAGUUAGUUAAGCGGGAGGAGGGUACCCCAGCAGCGGCUGCCUCUUUCCUGCGGGAGGAUGCUACUCUAGUCAGGCUGCAAUCCUACGCAUCCUUCGUGCGCAAGGUCGGUCCCAUUGAACUCCACGGGGCUCCCUGUUGCGGAACCGGGCACAGGAUGGGGCUUACGGAAGGGUUUAGGCGGCACAAAGGGCGCCCAAGCCCUCCGGCGCCUCAAGCCUAAAGGUCCUCGCGAGCCAAUUCUGUCCUCUCUCUCUCUCUCUCUCCCGCCUUUUUUGCGCGUCUCCCUGUCAGCAACGAGCUCUCACGGCCUUCCCCUCCUCUCUCCCGCUCGGCUCCCGGGACUGCCGGGCCGUCAGUGAAAGAGAAGGGGACGUUAGAGGUCAGCAGCAGGAAGGCGCGGGCGGCGGCGGACGAGAGCUGGAGAGAGCCGAAGGGUUUGGGUCCGGGGACUCACACAGUGAAGUGAUAGACGAAGCACUUCCAGCCGCAAUCCUAUGAGGUCGCUUAGACUGAGAGUCAGUGAGUGGCUCAAAGUCAUCCAAAGAGCUUCCAGGCUGAGCAGGGAAUAGAAGCUGAAAACCCUUAAGUUUCAGAACCACCCUCUAACCACUGUACCACAUGGCUCUUGGUUGCAAAGGCUUCUGCAUACAGUCAGCCUGGACUUCUGCUAAGAGCGAUGUGUAUCUUCCCUGGAAAGCUGCUGUAUGGGAAGGAAGAAGGAAAAAGAGAAAAUGAGGCAACCCCUGAAGAAGGAGGCUGUUUCUCUGAAAUGCUGGAUGAGCAUAACCUGGGAUGCUUGUAACUCAGUUACUUGUUUUUAUUUUCAAACUGGUGUGCUGUAAAUCUACUUUAUCUGUUUUCAGUUUUGUUGCAGGAUUUAAACCUGAGCACUACAUAAGGAGCAUGUUCUUUCCACUCUUCUUUUACAUAACCUCUAGGUGGAACUAUGAUAUAAUAUAAUAAACCAAUUGUACAUCAAGAAAAAGUGCAUUAUUUCACCAUUACAGUUAAAUGCUACAUUUUCCUGGUGCUUAACAUAAAAAGUUGCUGUAAGUGCUGGUUUGAUGCACAAGCAAACCUGAGGGGUCACAACAUUGUCUACAGAACUCAUAAACAAAUGUGAGUAGGGAAAGAUGGGUGCACAGUAAAUACCUUGUGUAGCAAGGUUCUGUGUCUCUGCCAUCUACAUGCAAACAAUUGAACUGAAUGGGCCCUAUGUGUCUAAAACACUACAUUUUAAGUUGGUGCAUGAAUUUCAUCUGGGGAGUCAACCACACAGUUUGACCUAAGUAUGGCCCCUCUUGGAUGAAUCAUCUGUAUAUGGAUGGCAGAGGUAGGGCCAAUGUACCAGCUCCGUGCAUAGGGCAGGAUCAGCACUCUGUUAUUCAAAUCAGCCUUCAAUUGCAUUAAUUCCAUCAAUUGCAUUAAUUCCACAUAAGCUUGCAUGGACUUGACUCCACUUAAUCAGCUGUCUGAAAUGGUAGACUGAGUUGGCACAUAACUUAUUCUACCUCCAGAAUAUAAUGUAGAAAACUUUUUUUUUCCUUUUUGUAAAGAGCAGAAGAUUUUUAAACUGUAAAAAGUGGAAUUAAAAUAUCAGGAGAUGCAUGCAACUAUAUCCUAGCAAAGAAAAUAAAAAAAAUGAAAACUAAACAUUCAUAAAAAUAAACACUUUCUUGCUAUGCUAAGUUAACAUCUAAACCUAACAUUUCCGUAAUAGAAUGCAUUCCAUGAUGCGGAGGUAUACAACUGGCAGUCCAGCGGUGCAGGCAGCCCUUGAGACACUUCCCCAUAAGUAACCUGACCCCUUGCUUUGAUACAUUCCUCCUGAAGAUUGAUUCACUGAGAAAGUCAUACAGGUCGCUCUGUGCUUCCUCCUCCUCCUGCUAGCAACAAGAAAAGGCCGAUCUUUUUCAGGAUUGUGAAAUAUAUGCAUGCAUGUAUGAGCAUGCACAUGUGUGAACCCUACAUUGAGCCAGGGUCACAUAUGAUCCUCAGGACUGGAAAGGUUCUGCACCCCUGCCAUAUGAGGUGUUAAAAAAGAAUCUAAACUGCCAUAGGAUUCUGCUUUAUGCAAAUAUGUCUGACAUUUGCAUUCAGUAGCAGGUGCUGCUUCCUCUUGAGAAACCUGAAUUGUAGACAGGAAACAUUUAUGGUUGUGAGCCGCCCCGAGGCUUCGGCGAAUGGGGCGGCAUAGAAGUCUCCUAAAUAAA